CUGAUCUGAACCGUUUCUUUCAGGGAAGGUUCUCUGUCCGUUUAUUUACCUUUUCAAAGGCCUUGUGACCUGCUGUUCCUCCUCAUACAGGUUUCAUAAGCUGGAAUACAGCGGCCCACUCAGCCCUUGUUUUCUUCCUAAGUGCUUUUUGUCCCGCGCGGUGACUCCCGAAGAAGACGAUGCCCGCUGUAAGACAGGAGAGAACACGGAACCGACCCCGUUGGUGCAGAAAAUGCGAACCGCGAAAGCCAUUUAUGUGUAACACAGUGUGACAGCUUCUAAAACCUGACGCUGAUGGGACUGAAGCCCCCUCCGCCCUCCGUUUCUGCUGCUGUACACAGUGGAUGUGAGAGGAGGCCAAACAAAGCACUGGGAAAUAAAAGAGGAGCUCAACAGCGGAGCGUAAGUGUGAUGGAGGUGAUGGGGGGCCGAGAAGGAAGGGAGACGCGAGUCACGAGGAGCUGCUGAAGAGCGAAAAGGAAGAGCAGAUUCAAACUGACCAUUAAGCGGAUACGUGCAGUUUGCACUUGCACCAGCUAAUUUUCAAAAUAUGCUGAUUGAUGGAAGCUGUAGUACAAAACUAAGAAUGUAAUUUAGCUUCAUUUUAAUAAAGCAGAUUUGACAUUCUAGUGCGAUAACAAGUCUCUGUAUCUCCUCGCUAAUUAGGGCUGCCCUGUGUAUUAGAUAAUGCGGGUCAUUUGUCAGGGAGCCGCCGCCCAUUCUAUGUUCAGAUAAUCAUAUUUAUA
Gasterosteus aculeatus aculeatus (three-spined stickleback) is the source of this 746-nucleotide long non-coding RNA. The record is from Ensembl. Lineage: Eukaryota; Metazoa; Chordata; Actinopteri; Perciformes; Gasterosteidae.